CGAGGGGCAUCGGGAGGGAAGCUUGCUUUCCUUGCCGGCGACCGGCGCACGGGUGAGUAACACGUAUGCAACCUGCCCUCUUCAGGGGGACAACCUUCCGAAAGGGAGGCUAAUCCCGCGUAUAUCGGUUUCGGGCAUCCGAGAUCGAGGAAAGAUUCAUCGGAAGAGGAUGGGCAUGCGGCGCAUUAGCUAGACGGCGGGGUAACGGCCCACCGUGGCGACGAUGCGUAGGGGUUCUGAGAGGAAGGUCCCCCACACUGGUACUGAGACACGGACCAGACUCCUACGGGAGGCAGCAGUGAGGAAUAUUGGUCAAUGGGAGAGAUCCUGAACCAGCCAAGCCGCGUGAGGGAAGACGGCCCUAUGGGUUGUAAACCUCUUUUGUCGGAGAACAAAACCCGGGACGUGUCCCGGACUGCGUGUAUCCGAAGAAAAAGCAUCGGCUAACUCCGUGCCAGCAGCCGCGGUAAUACGGAGGAUGCGAGCGUUAUCCGGAUUUAUUGGGUUUAAAGGGUGCGUAGGCGGUCCGUUAAGUCAGCGGUAAAAUUGCGGGGCUCAACCCCGUCGAGCCGUUGAAACUGGCAGACUUGAGUUGGCGAGAAGUAACGCGGAAAUGCGCGGUGUAGCGGUGA
This 632-nucleotide ribosomal RNA is filed under the name uncultured bacterium. Its description in RNAcentral is "bacterial SSU rRNA". It matches the Rfam family "Bacterial small subunit ribosomal RNA", at positions 63 to 684 of the family's 1533-position model. The record is from RNAcentral.